GGUGGCUCAGUGGUAGAGCACUUGCCUUGCAUGCAUGAGACCCUGGGUUCAAUUCCUCAGCACCA
Non-coding RNA from Dipodomys ordii (Ord's kangaroo rat), 65 nucleotides. The record is from Rfam. NCBI's taxonomy places the organism in Eukaryota, Metazoa, Chordata, Mammalia, Rodentia, Heteromyidae.